RNAcentral lists this long non-coding RNA (515 nucleotides) under Manihot esculenta (cassava). RNAcentral describes it as "long non-coding RNA (MESC_LNC008958)". The record is from RNAcentral. Lineage: Eukaryota; Viridiplantae; Streptophyta; Magnoliopsida; Malpighiales; Euphorbiaceae.
UCUAUGAAUAAUAUUCUUCCAUAAAAAAGAAAAGAACAGGGCUCAGAGAGAUCCCUUGAAAAAACAAGACCUCAGUUAGGUCCAAAACCAGCUGAGAUGACGAAGCGACAGUAAGGCCAAUGAGCCUGAAUCUUGCGCAAAACCUCAAAAAGGUACAAAAAACAGCCGGCGGGGCCCCGAGGUCACCCCGGAACGGCCGGUGAGGAUCAUAAAGAUGCCUCCCGGAGCAUGAAGACCGGGAUCCCCUAGAACUCCCGGGUAAACAAAGAAGACCAGGAUCCCCCAGAACUCCCGGGAAAACAAAACAAAACAAAAAACAGCCGGCGGGACCCCGAGGUCACCCCGGAACGGCCGGUGAGGAUCAUAAAGAUGCCUCCCGGAGCAUGAAGACCGGGAUCCCCUAGAACUCCCGGGUAAACAAAGAAGACCGGGAUCCCCCAGAACUCCCGGAAAAACAAAAACUGCGGGAAGGGCCCUGAGGUCACCCCGGAACAACAACAGCCAGGAUCUCGUAA